This 503-nucleotide ribosomal RNA is filed under the name uncultured bacterium. RNAcentral describes it as "partial 16S ribosomal RNA". It matches the Rfam family "Bacterial small subunit ribosomal RNA", at positions 28 to 523 of the family's 1533-position model. The record is from RNAcentral.
GAUGAACGCUGGCGGCGUGCCUAAUACAUGCAAGUCGAACGAAGAUCUAGCUUGCUAGAUCUUAGUGGCGAACGGGUGAGUAAUACAUAAAUAAUCUGCCCAUAUGACUGGGAUAACUAUUGGAAACGAUAGCUAAUACCGGAUAGGUUGAUCGGAGGCAUCUCUGAUGAAUUAAAGUAAGAUUUCUACACAAAUGGAUGAGUUUAUGGCGCAUUAGUUAGUUGGUGGGGUAACGGCCUACCAAGACGAUGAUGCGUAGCCGACCUGAGAGGGGGACCGGCCACACUGGGACUGAGACACGGCCCAGACUCCUACGGGAGGCAGCAGUAGGGAAUUUUCGGCAAUGGGCGCAAGCCUGACCGAGCAACGCCGCGUGAGUGAUUAAGGCCUUCGGGUUGUAAAGCUCUGUUGUAAGGGAAGAACAUUCAGGAUAGGAAAUGAUCUUGAACUGACGGUACCUUACCAGAAAGCCACGGCUAACUACGUGCCAGCAGCCGCGGUAA